RNAcentral lists this ribosomal RNA (86 nucleotides) under Chinchilla lanigera (long-tailed chinchilla). The record is from RNAcentral. Lineage: Eukaryota; Metazoa; Chordata; Mammalia; Rodentia; Chinchillidae.
GUCUACGGCCAUACCACCCUGAACACGCCCGAUCUCCUCUGAUCUCAGAAGCUAAAAAGUCACUACACUGAAUGUAACUGUGUACA